CUGCGUUGACUCCUGAUCGUACUGUGACUGGGAUCGGCUGUUUCUUCUGAAAUGCCUGCUUGUUGUCCUCGCACAGAUUUCCCAGCUGCCUGUGAACAUGCUCCCUCUGAGAUCAGAGUCCUAGUUACUCUGAGGCAGUCGGCCAGGAAACUCCUGUGACCCUCUCCUCUUCCCCCACUCCCGAGGCCAUGGCUGUGUCCUUGGAGUCUGUCCUCUGGGCUACCAGCUGAGUCUACUCAAGGCCCCUAAGGCAUUUUUCUUUUGCCCCCUCCCCGCUCCCCCUUCCCUCACCCA
Myotis davidii is the source of this 294-nucleotide long non-coding RNA. RefSeq lists it as uncharacterized. The transcript is spliced from 3 exons. The record is from RefSeq and is a predicted model, not a curated record. NCBI's taxonomy places the organism in Eukaryota, Metazoa, Chordata, Mammalia, Chiroptera, Vespertilionidae.